RNAcentral lists this ribosomal RNA (1731 nucleotides) under Escherichia coli. RNAcentral's name for it is "bacterial LSU rRNA". It matches the Rfam family "Bacterial large subunit ribosomal RNA", at positions 1 to 1767 of the family's 2925-position model. Lineage: Bacteria; Pseudomonadati; Pseudomonadota; Gammaproteobacteria; Enterobacterales; Enterobacteriaceae. The record is from RNAcentral.
GGGUUGUGAGGUUAAGCGACUAAGCGUACACGGUGGAUGCCCUGGCAGUCAGAGGCGAUGAAGGACGUGCUAAUCUGCGAUAAGCGUCGGUAAGGUGAUAUGAACCGUUAUAACCGGCGAUUUCCGAAUGGGGAAACCCAGUGUGAUUCGUCACACUAUCAUUAACUGAAUCCAUAGGUUAAUGAGGCGAACCGGGGGAACUGAAACAUCUAAGUACCCCGAGGAAAAGAAAUCAACCGAGAUUCCCCCAGUAGCGGCGAGCGAACGGGGAGCAGCCCAGAGCCUGAAUCAGUGUGUGUGUUAGUGGAAGCGUCUGGAAAGGCGCGCGAUACAGGGUGACAGCCCCGUACACAAAAAUGCACAUGCUGUGAGCUCGAUGAGUAGGGCGGGACACGUGGUAUCCUGUCUGAAUAUGGGGGGACCAUCCUCCAAGGCUAAAUACUCCUGACUGACCGAUAGUGAACCAGUACCGUGAGGGAAAGGCGAAAAGAACCCCGGCGAGGGGAGUGAAAAAGAACCUGAAACCGUGUACGUACAAGCAGUGGGAGCCUCUUUAUGGGGUGACUGCGUACCUUUUGUAUAAUGGGUCAGCGACUUAUAUUCUGUAGCAAGGUUAACCGAAUAGGGGAGCCGAAGGGAAACCGAGUCUUAACUGGGCGUUAAGUUGCAGGGUAUAGACCCGAAACCCGGUGAUCUAGCCAUGGGCAGGUUGAAGGUUGGGUAACACUAACUGGAGGACCGAACCGACUAAUGUUGAAAAAUUAGCGGAUGACUUGUGGCUGGGGGUGAAAGGCCAAUCAAACCGGGAGAUAGCUGGUUCUCCCCGAAAGCUAUUUAGGUAGCGCCUCGUGAAUUCAUCUCCGGGGGUAGAGCACUGUUUCGGCAAGGGGGUCAUCCCGACUUACCAACCCGAUGCAAACUGCGAAUACCGGAGAAUGUUAUCACGGGAGACACACGGCGGGUGCUAACGUCCGUCGUGAAGAGGGAAACAACCCAGACCGCCAGCUAAGGUCCCAAAGUCAUGGUUAAGUGGGAAACGAUGUGGGAAGGCCCAGACAGCCAGGAUGUUGGCUUAGAAGCAGCCAUCAUUUAAAGAAAGCGUAAUAGCUCACUGGUCGAGUCGGCCUGCGCGGAAGAUGUAACGGGGCUAAACCAUGCACCGAAGCUGCGGCAGCGACACUAUGUGUUGUUGGGUAGGGGAGCGUUCUGUAAGCCUGCGAAGGUGUACUGUGAGGUAUGCUGGAGGUAUCAGAAGUGCGAAUGCUGACAUAAGUAACGAUAAAGCGGGUGAAAAGCCCGCUCGCCGGAAGACCAAGGGUUCCUGUCCAACGUUAAUCGGGGCAGGGUGAGUCGACCCCUAAGGCGAGGCCGAAAGGCGUAGUCGAUGGGAAACAGGUUAAUAUUCCUGUACUUGGUGUUACUGCGAAGGGGGGACGGAGAAGGCUAUGUUGGCCGGGCGACGGUUGUCCCGGUUUAAGCGUGUAGGCUGGUUUUCCAGGCAAAUCCGGAAAAUCAAGGCUGAGGCGUGAUGACGAGGCACUACGGUGCUGAAGCAACAAAUGCCCUGCUUCCAGGAAAAGCCUCUAAGCAUCAGGUAACAUCAAAUCGUACCCCAAACCGACACAGGUGGUCAGGUAGAGAAUACCAAGGCGCUUGAGAGAACUCGGGUGAAGGAACUAGGCAAAAUGGUGCCGUAACUUCGGGAGAAGGCACGCUGAUACGUAGGUGAAG